AGAAUUUCCAGAGAUGGAUUGGUGCCUUCGGGGAACUCUGAGACAGGUGCUGCAUGGCUGUCGUCAGCUCGUGUUGUGAAAUGUUGGGUUAAGUCCCGCAACGAGCGCAACCCUUAUCCUUUGUUGCCAGCGGUCCGGCCGGGAACUCAAAGGAGACUGCCAGUGAUAAACUGGAGGAAGGUGGGGAUGACGUCAAGUCAUCAUGGCCCUUACGAGUAGGGCUACACACGUGCUACAAUGGCGCAUACAAAGAGAAGCGACCUCGCGAGAGCAAGCGGACCUCAUAAAGUGCGUCGUAGUCCGGAUUGGAGUCUGCAACUCGACUCCAUGAAGUCGGAAUCGCUAGUAAUCGUGGAUCAGAAUGCCACGGUGAAUACGUUCCCGGGCCUUGUACACACCGCCCGUCACACCAUGGGAGUGGGUUGCAAAAGAAGUAGGUAGCUUAACCUUCGGGAGGGCGCUUACCACUUUGUGAUUCAUGACUGGGGUGAAGUCGUAACAAGGUAGGCGUAGAUGA
RNAcentral lists this ribosomal RNA (517 nucleotides) under uncultured bacterium. Its description in RNAcentral is "bacterial SSU rRNA". It matches the Rfam family "Bacterial small subunit ribosomal RNA", at positions 992 to 1509 of the family's 1533-position model. The record is from RNAcentral.